GUCUACGACCAUACCACCGUGAACGCGCCCGAUCUCCUCUGAUCUCGGAAGCUAAGCAGGGUCGGGCCUAGUUAGUACUUGGAUGGGAGACCGCCUGAGAAUACCGGGUGCUGUAGGCU
This is a ribosomal RNA of Bos grunniens (domestic yak), 119 nucleotides long. The record is from Ensembl. Lineage: Eukaryota; Metazoa; Chordata; Mammalia; Artiodactyla; Bovidae.